This 614-nucleotide ribosomal RNA is filed under the name uncultured fungus. Its description in RNAcentral is "eukaryotic LSU rRNA". The stretch from base 218 to 373 matches the Rfam family "5.8S ribosomal RNA". Lineage: Eukaryota; Fungi. The record is from RNAcentral.
AAGGAUCAUUACCGAGUUAGGGCCCUCCACAGGGCCCGACCUCCCAACCCCUUGUUUAAUCAUACCAUUUGUUGCUUCGGCGGGACGGUCUUCCCAGACCGCCGGGGGGGUGCUCACCGCCCCUCUGGAGAGUCUUGCCCGCCGAUGGCCCCCUUCAAAAUCUUGAACCCAACCUUGACGCCUAAAUUGGAUUUAUUGUAUAAUGGACAAAAAAUAAAACUUUCAACAACGGAUCUCUUGGGUUCUGGCAUCGAUGAAGAACGCAGCGAAAUGCGAUUAGUAAUGCGAAUUGCAGAAUUUCCGUGAGUCAUCGAAUCUUUGAACGCACAUUGCGCCCUUUGGUAUUCCGAAGGGCAUGCCUGUUCGAGCGUCAUUAUCCCCCCUCAAACCUCGGGUUUGGUGUUUGGACCGACGUUGGUCGUUACCCCGACCAACUGGUCUCAAAGACAAUGACGGCGUCCGUGGGACCCUCGAUACACCGAGCUUUCUUUUCGAAGCACGUACCGAGUUGCAAGGACCCACGCCCGCCGGUCGCUCUCCCCUUCUCGGAGAAAACGCAAGUUUUUUUCACAAGGUUGACCUCGGAUCAGGUAGGAGUACCCCGCUGAACUUUA